Long non-coding RNA from Magnolia sinica, 800 nucleotides. RefSeq lists it as uncharacterized. The transcript has 4 exons. NCBI's taxonomy places the organism in Eukaryota, Viridiplantae, Streptophyta, Magnoliopsida, Magnoliales, Magnoliaceae. The record is from RefSeq and is a predicted model, not a curated record.
UAGGUAUGAUGGCCAACGAGCUCAGAUUUUGUGCUCUUGCAUCCCCCAUGUGGGCUGGAUGAAUCACCAUGGAAUGAACCUGGAAUUUUAACUGCUAGAAAGGAUUUAGACUACAUUGGAUGAGAAGAACUGUUGGAAGCCUUGAAGAGGCAAAAGGGUACGUUUGAAACCGGUCAAGAAGAUAGUACUGAAAUUCUGGAGGAGUUAAAGCUGAGGUUGGCAUACAGGGAAGCAGCUGUGGCUGUUCUUGCAUGCUACAAUCCAAAUCCUCACCGUCCUUUCACUGAGACUAAUAUUCGUUCCAUUCGCAGCAAGCCAAAUAUGCGUUAUGUUGAGACUACCGGAAGGUUUUUUUGAGAAAGUUAGAUUAUGUAGAAUCUAUAGUCCGUGCAUGUGCCCGUAAGUCUUAUAUCUCUCUUUCCUUUAAUUACUCUUUUUUUUUUUUUUUUUGUCCUUGUGCCAAAUAGUUCACUGUUCAGGUGCAUAAGCCAAUCAAAUUAUCAUUGGCUUAUGGAUCUAGUGCAUGCAUGUCACAUGUGCAGUAAUGACAUGGGGCAUGGUACCUCCCAUGCCUCCAAUGGCACUGGAUCUAGUCCCUUUCUGGUUACUUGAGUGUGAAUUUCACACAAUUUUGCUUGGUGCACUCCAUCUUGACUCAGGUGUUUAUUGUCUCAUUUGAAUUUUCUGUUAUCUGUAGAGUUUUUUAGCGGUACUGGGUCCGAAUGGAAGUGGUAAAAGCAACGUCAUAGAUGCAAUGCCCUUUGUAUUUGGGAAACGAGCUAAGCAGGUAAGCUCCAUUU